This 67-nucleotide transfer RNA is filed under the name Schedorhinotermes lamanianus. RNAcentral's name for it is "tRNA-Asn". Lineage: Eukaryota; Metazoa; Arthropoda; Insecta; Blattodea; Rhinotermitidae. The record is from RNAcentral.
UUAGCUGAAACCAAAAAGAGGUAUAUUAUUGUUAAUAAUAAAAUUGAAUAAACACAUUCCAGCUAAA